This 748-nucleotide ribosomal RNA is filed under the name uncultured bacterium. Its description in RNAcentral is "bacterial SSU rRNA". It matches the Rfam family "Bacterial small subunit ribosomal RNA", at positions 57 to 804 of the family's 1533-position model. The record is from RNAcentral.
GCAGUCGACGGCAGCACGGACUUCGGUCUGGUGGCGAGUGGCGAACGGGUGAGUAAUAUAUCGGAACGUGCCCAGUCGUGGGGGAUAACGUAGUGAAAAUUACGCUAAUACCGCAUACGAUCUAAGGAUGAAAGCGGGGGAUCGCAAGACCUCGCGCGAUUGGAGCGGCCGAUAUCAGAUUAGGUAGUUGGUGGGGUAAAGGCUCACCAAGCCAACGAUCUGUAGCUGGUCUGAGAGGACGACCAGCCACACUGGAACUGAGACACGGUCCAGACUCCUACGGGAGGCAGCAGUGGGGAAUUUUGGACAAUGGACGCAAGUCUGAUCCAGCCAUUCCGCGUGCAGGACGAAGGCCUUCGGGUUGUAAACUGCUUUUGUACAGAACGAAAAGGUUUCUAUUAAUACUAGGGGCUCAUGACGGUACUGUAAGAAUAAGCACCGGCUAACUACGUGCCAGCAGCCGCGGUAAUACGUAGGGUGCAAGCGUUAAUCGGAAUUACUGGGCGUAAAGCGUGCGCAGGCGGUUAUAUAAGACAGAUGUGAAAUCCCCGGGCUCAACCUGGGAACUGCAUUUGUGACUGUAUAGCUGGAGUGCGGCAGAGGGGGAUGGAAUUCCGCGUGUAGCAGUGAAAUGCGUAGAUAUGCGGAGGAACACCGAUGGCGAAGGCAAUCCCCUGGGCCUGCACUGACGCUCAUGCACGAAAGCGUGGGGAGCAACAGGAUUAGAUACCCUGGUAGUCACGCCCUA